CUGCCAAGGCAGCAAGGGUCCGUCCAUCCGCCACCGCGGCGAGUGGCUCACACCCAACGAGUUCCAGUUCGUCAGCGGCCGAGAGACGGCCAAGGACUGGAAGCGCAGCAUCCGCCACAAAGGAAAAAGUCCGAAGACGCUUAUGUCCAAGGGGAUUCUGCAGGUGCACCCUCCGAUCUGCGACUGUCCGGGCUGUCGAAUAUCCUCCCCGGUGAACCGGGGGCGGCUGGCAGACAAGAGGACAGUUGCCCUGCCCACUGCACGGGUCCUAAAGAAGGAGCUGACCCCCAGCUUCUCGUCCCGUGAUGGUGACAGCGAUGGGAGUGGCCCAGCCUGUGGGCGGCAACCAGGC
Long non-coding RNA from Mirounga angustirostris (Northern elephant seal), 352 nucleotides. RefSeq lists it as uncharacterized. Lineage: Eukaryota; Metazoa; Chordata; Mammalia; Carnivora; Phocidae. The record is from RefSeq and is a predicted model, not a curated record. The transcript has 3 exons.